GGAGGACAUCUCUCUGCUUGAUCAAAUUUGGAGGAUGAAGCAAUUCUUCUUCAACACUUCCUUGCUGAAUCCGAUGGUGGAAGAGAUCUCCCUGAAAGUCCAAAAUUGGCAACUGCCACCAUGAUCAGGGGAGUUUUCUUCUUUCCCUUCUUCCCCUUUUCCCGCUUUUAUUGCCCUUGUCCUUGAUCUGUUGACUAUUAUGAUUGUGAUCUUAUGCUUGUGACACAUUGAGGACAUUGUGUUGUUUAAGUGUGGUCUAUUAGGGGAGGUUGUUCUUUGUUUAGAUUUCGUUUUCUAGUGAAUUUUGUUGAGUCUUGUGUACAGUUUUGCAUGCUUUUUGUGAAUUCUGGACUGUGAUUAGGUUGCUAGUUUCCCUUCACUGCAUUGAUACUCUGUUUUGUUGGACUCCUUGCUCUUCUUUGCUUGGAAGAUAAUCAUGAUGUUUGAGAGUUGGAUUAACUGUGACCGAUUACCUGUGUGAGAUUUGAGCCAUUUGAUGAUCUAUCUUGUGUGUCAUAUGUCUCUAGAUUGCUUGCACAUUUGCCUUGGCUUGACUCUAUUGAUAAUUCUUUAUUCAUGAGCAUGUUUGAAAAUGAUAAAGGCAUUUUGUUGAUUGAGCCUCUCUAGCCAGAUAGCCUACCAUAUUAUGAUCUCUUUGUUAGCCCCCUUGAGCCUAUACGUCCCCCAUUUCUUUGUUUUGAAGCUCAUACAAUAGCCUAAGUGAAAAACCAUGAUUACCUGAACCUUAGGGAAUUUUGGAGCUUUGGAAUUGUUUUGGGAAUAAGU
This 786-nucleotide long non-coding RNA is filed under the name Vigna radiata. RNAcentral's name for it is "long non-coding RNA (VRAD_LNC005077)". Lineage: Eukaryota; Viridiplantae; Streptophyta; Magnoliopsida; Fabales; Fabaceae. The record is from RNAcentral.